CUUUAGGCUUCUCUAGAAGCCACCACAACAAUCUCUAAAUAUCUUG
Non-coding RNA from Colinus virginianus (northern bobwhite), 46 nucleotides. Lineage: Eukaryota; Metazoa; Chordata; Aves; Galliformes; Odontophoridae. The record is from Rfam.